RNAcentral lists this ribosomal RNA (506 nucleotides) under Salmonella enterica subsp. enterica serovar Oranienburg. Its description in RNAcentral is "bacterial LSU rRNA". It matches the Rfam family "Bacterial large subunit ribosomal RNA", at positions 962 to 1470 of the family's 2925-position model. The record is from RNAcentral. Lineage: Bacteria; Pseudomonadati; Pseudomonadota; Gammaproteobacteria; Enterobacterales; Enterobacteriaceae.
CCGGAGAAUGUUAUCACGGGAGACACACGGCGGGUGCUAACGUCCGUCGUGAAGAGGGAAACAACCCAGACCGCCAGCUAAGGUCCCAAAGUCAUGGUUAAGUGGGAAACGAUGUGGGAAGGCCCAGACAGCCAGGAUGUUGGCUUAGAAGCAGCCAUCAUUUAAAGAAAGCGUAAUAGCUCACUGGUCGAGUCGGCCUGCGCGGAAGAUGUAACGGGGCUAAACCAUGCACCGAAGCUGCGGCAGCGACGCUUAUGCGUUCGUUGGGUAGGGGAGCGUUCUGUAAGCCUGUGAAGGUGGCCUGUGAGGGUUGCUGGAGGUAUCAGAAGUGCGAAUGCUGACAUAAGUAACGAUAAAGCGGGUGAAAAGCCCGCUCGCCGGAAGACCAAGGGUUCCUGUCCAACGUUAAUCGGGGCAGGGUGAGUCGACCCCUAAGGCGAGGCCGAAAGGCGUAGUCGAUGGGAAACGGGUUAAUAUUCCCGUACUUGGUGUUACUGCGAAGGGGG